Long non-coding RNA from Cotesia glomerata, 509 nucleotides. RefSeq lists it as uncharacterized. The transcript is spliced from 2 exons. The record is from RefSeq and is a predicted model, not a curated record. Lineage: Eukaryota; Metazoa; Arthropoda; Insecta; Hymenoptera; Braconidae.
AAGUACGAAAGGACCGGAAGUAGUAAAGAGAGGGGUGAAUGAGUCUCGGAAAUGUACUAUGCGCAUGCGUCAGAAUUUUUCUUGUAUCGGGGGCUUGAAGGAAGCGCUUUGAUUGGUCGAAGAAGUGGCCGGUAGGGGUAGUUCGGCUUCAGGCCCAUGCUUCCCAUGAUAUUAUUUAAAGAGGAAUGCUUGGAGUAAUUUCACCAUUCUUCAUUCAGCACCCCUUGAAUGAACAGCUAGCUGUAGCGUGACCAUCACAGUUUCAGUCAGUAGUUCGUUUUGGUUUUUAUUUUUGUCUUUUCUAAUAGACCUUACUACGUCUAGAUAGUUUUUUUAUUCAAGUCUGUUAUAUUGAUAACAGACAGUAUUAUUGAGUUUUUUGUUAUAUAAACAAUAUCUGGUGAAAGUUUUUUAACAGUUCAUUUUCCAAUUGGAUCUUUCGAAUUUUAAAGGAAUAUCAAAAGGCAAACGAUCUGAUUGAAGAAACGCACCACGAUGUAUAACAAUUU